UCCCAGUGCGCGUCUAGCAGGGAGCCUGCGUCCCCGGGGUGCCGGCAGCGCCGCCGGCCGGUGCUGGGUGCGCCGGGCCAUGCAGCGGCGGCCGCGGCGGAGCUCCGAGCGGCGGUAGCGCCCCCUGUGAGGCGACCAGAGAUGCCCCGGCCACUGUGAACCGCGCCGCCCGCCAGGACACGCUCAGCCCGGGACACGCUCGGCUCUGCGCGCCCGCGACAGGCACCGGGGCGAGGGAGCGACCAGCGCGGCGCAGGCCGCCCAGCGGGGGCGGGGGAGGCCGGCCGGUGCGGCGCGGGGCCACCUACUCGCUCUGACUCCGGCUGGCACUG
This 332-nucleotide non-coding RNA is filed under the name Canis lupus dingo (dingo). RNAcentral's name for it is "TrkB IRES". It matches the Rfam family "TrkB IRES". From Rfam's summary of the family: This family represents the TrkB internal ribosome entry site (IRES) which is present in the 5' leader sequence of the mRNA. Lineage: Eukaryota; Metazoa; Chordata; Mammalia; Carnivora; Canidae. The record is from Rfam by way of RNAcentral.